AGUGGGGGACAACGUUUCGAAAGGAACGCUAAUACCGCAUACGUCCUACGGGAGAAAGCAGGGGACCUUCGGGCCUUGCGCUAUCAGAUGAGCCUAGGUCGGAUUAGCUAGUUGGUGAGGUAAAGGCUCACCAAGGCGACGAUCCGUAACUGGUCUGAGAGGAUGAUCAGUCACACUGGAACUGAGACACGGUCCAGACUCCUACGGGAGGCAGCAGUGGGGAAUAUUGGACAAUGGGCGAAAGCCUGAUCCAGCCAUGCCGCGUGUGUGAAGAAGGUCUUCGGAUUGUAAAGCACUUUAAGUUGGGAGGAAGGGCAGUAAGCUAAUACCUUGCUGUUUUGACGUUACCGACAGAAUAAGCACCGGCUAACUUCGUGCCAGCAGCCGCGGUAAUACGAAGGGUGCAAGCGUUAAUCGGAAUUACUGGGCGUAAAGCGCGCGUAGGUGGUUCGUUAAGUUGGAUGUGAAAGCCCCGGGCUCAACCUGGGAACUGCAUCCAAAACUGGCGAGCUAGAGUAUGGCAGAGGGUGGUGGAAUUUCCUGUGUAGCGGUGAAAUGCGUAGAUAUAGGAAGGAACACCAGUGGCGAAGGCGACCACCUGGGCUAAUACUGACACUGAGGUGCGAAAGCGUGGGGAGCAAACAGGAUUAGAUGCCCUGGUAGUCCACGCCGUAAACGAUGUCGACUAGCCGUUGGGAUCCUUGAGAUCUUAGUGGCGCAGCUAACGCAUUAAGUCGACCGCCUGGGGAGUACGGCCGCAAGGUUAAAACUCAAAUGAAUUGACGGGGGCCCGCACAAGCGGUGGAGCAUGU
This 812-nucleotide ribosomal RNA is filed under the name uncultured bacterium. Its description in RNAcentral is "bacterial SSU rRNA". It matches the Rfam family "Bacterial small subunit ribosomal RNA", at positions 135 to 942 of the family's 1533-position model. The record is from RNAcentral.